RNAcentral lists this non-coding RNA (23 nucleotides) under Arabidopsis thaliana (thale cress). The record is from RNAcentral. Lineage: Eukaryota; Viridiplantae; Streptophyta; Magnoliopsida; Brassicales; Brassicaceae.
CAUCCUUUACACGAGACAAUUGU